RNAcentral lists this ribosomal RNA (253 nucleotides) under uncultured bacterium. RNAcentral's name for it is "partial 16S ribosomal RNA". It matches the Rfam family "Bacterial small subunit ribosomal RNA", at positions 524 to 776 of the family's 1533-position model. The record is from RNAcentral.
UACGGAGGGUGCAAGCGUUGUUCGGAAUUAUUGGGCGUAAAGCGCGUGCAGGCGGUCGGAUAAGUCAGAUGUGAAAGCCUUCCGCUUAACGGAAGAAGUGCAUUUGAAACUAUUCGGCUAGAGUACGGGAGAGGAGAGUGGAAUUCCCGGUGUAGAGGUGAAAUUCGUAGAUAUCGGGAGGAACACCAGUGGCGAAGGCGGCUCUCUGGUCCGAUACUGACGCUGAGACGCGAAAGCGUGGGGAGCAAACAGG